AUUUUUUUGGUUUUCAUCCACACCUCUCUCCUCUCUCCGUAAAUCACUUUUUCUCUGCACUUUCUCCUCUCCCCGUAAAUCACUUUCUCCUCUGCGUCGCCUCCUUCAUUUUCGCCGACCUACCACCUCCAUCCUUCACGCCGCCUUCGCCUUCCUGUCUCCACCCUCAACCGCGCCUCCACCCCCAAACCCCGCUUUCACCACCAGAUUAGGCGAAGGGGGGCGACGACUGCUCGCCGGAUAUGUAGCAGCGACAGCGACAGCAAAGACUGUCUCCUGUUCCUUCUCGCCGCCUUCUCCUCUCCUCCACCGUUCCUCGACUACAAAGGGCGGAUUCGCAGCGGUAGCUAAAGCCAUAGGCGCGGAGAUCGAGAUGAAGGUCGAAAUUUCUGGAUCGGCGAAUUUUUUGGAGAAUUUUUGUCAAAUUUCUGGAUUUUGGGAAACCCGAAACCUCUGGAUCGCCGAAUUUCUAGAAUCUACAUGGUUUACUGAUGUGGUUUUUUGAUGAUAUGAUUUUUAUGAUCUGUUUUGUUUCAUUUCGAAAUGUGUUUACUAGUUCAAUUUCAUUUCUGAGUGUUGGUUUUGGUUUUGUGCGUGUGCUUGCAGCCGGAGGAAUCCUUCAUUUCUCUGCCGCCGGCCGGACGGCGACCGGAGAUGCCUUUAUUUCAGCGACAGUUGUAUUGAAGAACAUUAUUUUGACUUCAUUAAUCCGGAUUUAAUAAUCAUUAAAAAUUACAUUAAACAUGUUGGCUUCUACUUUUUCUCCUUAAUCUAACUCUCCUAAAUACCCGUACCCAAAAGAACUAGGCCAUGAAUACUGGGACGGAGGGAGUACAAAUCAAAGGAGAUCAAGAAGGCAUACUUCCCUCCAAAGAUUUCAAAUAACAUUUGAAGAGGAUAAUCAGAUAAUCAAGUAGAGAUUCGCAACCCGCAACAAAUUCAUCUCAAUAUAUCUAUAUAUUUUGGAUUUGUACACAUUUGGUAUUUCAUUAAAUUGAAUACAUUAAAAUUUAUGUUUACACGUGGUGUCAACGCACAAAAGUUUAAAAAUAAAAUAAAAAAUAGAUCAG
Molecule: long non-coding RNA, 1070 nt
Filed under: Salvia miltiorrhiza (redroot sage)
Lineage: Eukaryota; Viridiplantae; Streptophyta; Magnoliopsida; Lamiales; Lamiaceae
Description: long non-coding RNA (SMIL_LNC006694)
Source: RNAcentral